AAAACACAGAAACGAACAGAGCACAAAACAAGAGACACCAUAGAAUCUUGGUCGCCAUAGAGCUGUCUUUCGGAGAGAGAGAGAGAGAGAUUAAGAAAGAGAGAGAAGAUCGAGAUGAUAUGAAUGGACCGAUGAGAGGGUUAUUUGGGAAAUUUUGGUGGAAAAUAAUAAGAAAAUCUCAUAUUCCUCAAAAGGUUAUAUUCUCAUUACCCAAUUUACCCCUUCCCUACACUCCCUCACCUAUAAAGGCAAGUCCUUUAUAUAAACACCCCCAUUACAAGGUGAGUCAAUUUCCAAAAAUUCUUCAAUUUUUUUACACUCCAAAAACAUGGGACCCACAGUAUCUUUGUCCCACAAGUACGCUAUUUUUUCUAUUAUUAUUAUUAUUAUCCAA
Molecule: long non-coding RNA, 394 nt
Organism: Cucurbita moschata (crookneck pumpkin)
Lineage: Eukaryota; Viridiplantae; Streptophyta; Magnoliopsida; Cucurbitales; Cucurbitaceae
Exons: 2
Source: RefSeq, a predicted model, not a curated record